AGGCUCAUUUUUGCAGCACGUAGACUGAAAUUAAAUCAACCCACAGAAGACUGACAUGAUUCCUGGGCAAGAAUGCCAGGCACUUUUAUGGAACAUUCCAUAUUUUU
This 107-nucleotide small nuclear RNA is filed under the name Phascolarctos cinereus (koala). The record is from RNAcentral. Lineage: Eukaryota; Metazoa; Chordata; Mammalia; Diprotodontia; Phascolarctidae.